GAUGAACGCUAGCGGCAGGCCUAACACAUGCAAGUCGAGGGGUAGCACAGAAACAGCAAUGUUUUGGUGGCGACCGGCGGACGGGUGCGUAACGCGUAUGCAACCUACCUUUAACAGGGGGAUAACGGAGAGAAAUUUCCACUAAUACCCCAUAACAUCGAUCAAGGCAUCUUGAUUGGUUGAAAACUCCGGUGGUUAAAGAUGGGCAUGCGUUGUAUUAGGUAGUUGGUGAGGUAAUGGCUCACCAAGCCUACGAUACAUAGGGGGACUGAGAGGUUAGCCCCCCCACACUGGUACUGAGACACGGACCAGACUCCUACGGGAGGCAGCAGUGAGGAAUAUUGGUCAAUGGGGGCAACCCUGAACCAGCCAUGCCGCGUGCAGGAAGACGGCUCUAUGAGUUGUAAACUGCUUUUAAACAGGGAUAAAGCACAGUAUGUAUACUGUGUUGAAGGUACUGUAAGAAUAAGGAUCGGCUAACUCCGUGCCAGCCGCCGCGGUAA
This 503-nucleotide ribosomal RNA is filed under the name uncultured bacterium. RNAcentral describes it as "partial 16S ribosomal RNA". It matches the Rfam family "Bacterial small subunit ribosomal RNA", at positions 28 to 523 of the family's 1533-position model. The record is from RNAcentral.